This 164-nucleotide unclassified non-coding RNA is filed under the name uncultured Meliniomyces. RNAcentral describes it as "sequence contains ITS1". The record is from RNAcentral. Lineage: Eukaryota; Fungi; Ascomycota; Leotiomycetes; Helotiales; Helotiaceae.
AAGAAUCGCCCCGUUUUUUUGAAAUGGGGUUCUAUUCCCAAACCGUGUCUAUAUACCUUUGUUGCUUUGGCAGGCCGCCACUUAGGCGUUGGCUCCGGCUGGCUGCGCCUGCCAGAGGACCCAAACUCGUUUGUUAGUGAUGUCUGAGUACUAUAUAAUAGUUA